AGGUUACAUAAGGUGUACUACUUUGUGCUAGUACAUCUUGUAUUGUAUUGUUGCUUGUUCAAGCUUCUGAUGCUCCACAGCAAGCGAGGCUUUGUGGAAUCCUGGAGAGUUCUAUUUAUUUCCUGUCUUAUGUCCCAGCUGCAUUCUAGUUUAUGUAGUCGAGUCUUGGGCAGGUUUCUCUCACUCUUUGUCCUGCAUGGUACUAUUUAUUUUAAAUGUCUUUGUAAUUUUUUUCAAACAAGACAUUGUAAGUAAUAUAUAGUAAUAAUAUCUAUAGUAUAUAGUAGUAAUAUAUAUGUAGUAAUAUGUAACUGGUCACAUUUUAUUUUGAUUAGAUAUUAUAAUAGAUAGCUCCUGCUGAAGAUCAAGAAAAUAUUUACCAAGUACUUAUGAGAUUAGAUCUUCAAACUAUAGAGUUUAAAAAGGAAACUUCUAACUGUGCAUCCUGUGUCCUGGUAUUGCGCUGCCUUCUCUGGGGCCCUGUGAAGAUGGAAUAAGUGAGCCUGCGAGCAAAGAGCAUGGUGCCAUUUUCAGGACAGGAGCGCAAACCAUUCUUCAAGGACAAAGACGGAGUGAGGUAGCUUUACCAAGGGCAGAGAAUGCAUGGGACGUAACACUGACGAGCCCUCUGGAAAUGUUGCUUGUCUAAGAAACUCAGUGACUCAAGAAAGGAAUGAAAACAGAGGUCUCAAGUAUGAAGACAAUGUGGUGAGAAGACUGACUAAUUUACAUAAGUCUAAAUAAAGAACUAAAGCAAGCAUAUUGGCAGAGAUUAUGACUUAUAGAGAAAUCCAGUAGUUAAAAAUAAUAUAACCAAUGAAAAUGUGGUGACAGGCACGGAAUGUUCUCCCUCCUAUUCGU
This is a non-coding RNA of Myodes glareolus (Bank vole), 861 nucleotides long. NCBI's taxonomy places the organism in Eukaryota, Metazoa, Chordata, Mammalia, Rodentia, Cricetidae. The record is from RefSeq and is a predicted model, not a curated record.